This 253-nucleotide ribosomal RNA is filed under the name uncultured bacterium. RNAcentral describes it as "partial 16S ribosomal RNA". It matches the Rfam family "Bacterial small subunit ribosomal RNA", at positions 524 to 776 of the family's 1533-position model. The record is from RNAcentral.
UACGGGGGGGGCAAGCGUUGUUCGGAAUUACUGGGCGUAAAGGGCUCGUAGGCGGCCAACUAAGUCAGACGUGAAAUCCCUCGGCUUAACCGGGGAACUGCGUCUGAUACUGGAUGGCUUGAGGUUGGGAGAGGGAUGCGGAAUUCCAGGUGUAGCGGUGAAAUGCGUAGAUAUCUGGAGGAACACCGGUGGCGAAGGCGGCAUCCUGGACCAAUUCUGACGCUGAGACGCGAAAGCGUGGGGAGCAAACAGG